Molecule: transfer RNA, 80 nt
Filed under: Coccidioides immitis RMSCC 3703
Lineage: Eukaryota; Fungi; Ascomycota; Eurotiomycetes; Onygenales; Onygenaceae
Description: tRNA-Ser (AGA) (tRNA-Ser-AGA-3-1)
Rfam family: tRNA
About the family: Transfer RNA (tRNA) molecules are approximately 80 nucleotides in length. Their secondary structure includes four short double-helical elements and three loops (D, anti-codon, and T loops).
Source: RNAcentral
GGCACUGUGGCGGAGUGGUUAUCGCGUCAGCCUAGAAAGCUGAUCCUUCGGGGGCCUGAGUUCGAAUCUCAGCGGUGUCG